AAUUGCGGUCUCUUCAAGGGUUUGAAUGGUUCCAGGUGUGUAUACAAGACUGUUUGGGAGGGAAUGGAGGUAAGAAAGGAAAAACAUGAGAAAAAGG
Molecule: non-coding RNA, 97 nt
Filed under: Palpitomonas bilix
Lineage: Eukaryota
Source: RNAcentral